ACGGCGGCAGCGCAGCGAGGCGGCGGCCAGGCAGGGCUGCGGGACGGAGCGGGCCGAGAAAAAAAAAAAACGCCCGAACCGCUUCCGCCGAAUUCCGAAACCACCCCGAGGAGGUGGAGGAGGGAGAACGGAGAGAGCCGAAAGGAGAUGAUGUUAAAGCCACACAAAUGAGAUUAUUCCUGGGACUUCCAGGAUCAGAGUCGUUUUGUACCGACGUGCAGCACCCUGCCUGCCCUGACAGAAGGCUGUUUUCCUGCUCCAAUCUCUGCAGCCAAGGUACAGCUUAUCCUGGAAGAUGGUAUUCUGCUGCAGGGAUGGGGCCAGGCUUUGGCAGAGCAAGGAGAACACACACAUAGGCUGCUGGAGCACUGAAUCGUUGGCUAUUACCCAACUGCAGCAUGUGCCAGCCAAGACCCCUGUUCUCACUCCUGCUGCCUGCAGCUGAGAGCACGAUUCAGAGCUUUGGGAGAAACACUGUGCUUUUGGCCUGAGGCUUGUCCAGCCCCCAAGUAGGUGGAAUUGAUGCUACCGUGUCCCAGAUACCCAGCACAGACCUGGGUGGCAGAGAACUGACCAAGCUGCCCUGAGCCUCCUCCUGGCCUUGCAGGCUUAUGGUACUAAAGCACACCCCAGUAUGAGAGAUGCCUGGGUGCCCUUGCUGCUGACGUGGUGCUUGCCAACCACUUGCAGUAAGCACAUUUCCCAUGUGGGACACCCUGUGCACCGUGGUGUGAUGCUGCUGGAGCUGACCCCAGGGGUCUUUGCCACUGCUGGCGCCUUUUGCUGCUUUAACCUGCUCCCCCAUCAGAACUGUGAUGGCUGCUAAGAUGAUUAAGAGAUUGGAGCAUCUGCCAUAUAAAAAAGAGCCUGGAAGAAUGAAGGCUUGGAGCGGUUCUUAUCCAUGUCUCUCAACACUUGUGGUGGGUAAAGAAGACAGGCAGAUUCUCCUCAGUGUUUCCCAGUGACAGAACGAGAGCCAUGCUGAUAACAGAAUACAGGAAUUCCAUUGAAACUAAAGAAAUGCUUUUUGUGCAGGGGUGGCUGAACACUGGAACACGUAGCACAGAAGCGUUCUGCCAUCUCCAUCCUCAGAAACAGUCAAAACCUGACACGACGUGGUCCUGAGCAGCCUGCUCGAGCAUGUUGAGUGGGGAGGAAUGGAAGGCCGUGUGAAGGCCAUGUUCAGAGCUCCUUUCCCAACUCUACUCCGUAAUUCCUUGAGCUGUUGUGGCUUGUUAUCAUUGUAAUGAGACGUACGUGGUGCUACCAUUCUCACUUGCAGCCCUUGCCUCCCUUCUCUGGGGCAGGUCAGGGCUUCCCUGUUCUGAGCACAGCUCAGCUGUGACCCUGCUCUGCCCACUGCGGUGUGGCACCUUGGUGAGGCUUCCCAUGCUCUGCAGCAUCUUGCUAACUCUCACAUAGCUCAGAGAAAGUGAAAACUCCUUGCUUUGCUGAAAGAGACACCUGCUAUACUGCUGGUAAAACCAGAAGGUUGAUCCUCACCUGAGAAACACUCAGCUUUGUCCAGAGAGCCACACACAGGCCAUAGCUCCCUGCCCCUUGGCACGGGGGCCAAACACCCACACAGCAACACCACGGCUCAGUAAAGGUUUGCUUUUAUUUCUGGUUGAAAAUCAAAAUUAGUCAUUCUCUGUAAUUACAUUAUAUAUAGAUUUAUAGAGACAUUAUAGAAAAGAAUUUGUUGCUUUUUUUUUUCUGAAAAAAAAAAUCGUAAAUAAAAAAUAAAACAAACAGGAACGAAAGGAAAAGGUGGCAGCGUCCA
This is a long non-coding RNA of Centrocercus urophasianus (Greater sage-grouse), 1783 nucleotides long. RefSeq lists it as uncharacterized. NCBI's taxonomy places the organism in Eukaryota, Metazoa, Chordata, Aves, Galliformes, Phasianidae. The transcript is spliced from 3 exons. The record is from RefSeq and is a predicted model, not a curated record.